This is a long non-coding RNA of Mytilus trossulus (common blue mussel), 1018 nucleotides long. RefSeq lists it as uncharacterized. Lineage: Eukaryota; Metazoa; Mollusca; Bivalvia; Mytilida; Mytilidae. The record is from RefSeq and is a predicted model, not a curated record. The transcript is spliced from 2 exons.
AGAUGUCCGUCAAUGGGAAUCGUUAGAUUCGCCCACCACAGAAUCAUCAAUAAAUAUAUUUCAUUUGUUCAAUUGACUGAAAACAACUUAUGACACAACGGACGAGAAAACACUUCAAUUUGGAUUCUUAAUUAUUUUCUCUUAUCACAGAAAAGAAUGCGUUGCUACACUAUUCCCUGUCUACUACUUGCAGUAUUGCCUGUUAUAUUUUCAUCACAAAUUGGACCAGAAAGAGGAAGUGACGUUAGUGGUAUUUUAUAUAAGUUGUUGGCAUCAGACAUUGACCCGGAAAUAAAACGAAAACUUUUAUUGGUGGACUAUUUAGGUAAACUUUCCACACAACAUGAAACAGAAGAGGAUAUGGAACCGUUUAAUGAACUACCAAAACGAUCACAUAUGUGGUUUCGUCAUAGUUCUGGAAAUAUUCCAAUUCAAACAAGGCUGUCGUUUGGUCAGCCUCUCAGUCGGAAUGGAAUCGGUUCAAUACACAAAAUUAGAUAUGGCAGAAAAUAAAAACUAACUACCUUAACAUUUGUGAUAUACCGAGUUUAUGCAAUCUGUGUAGACACUGUUUUGUUAAAAUAAUUAUUGUGUAGUCAUCUGUGUGUUGGCGAAUAUCGGAAUGAAACUAUAGCAAAAAAGACUACCAAAAUUUGUCGCAGGCGAAUAAAACAUUGGUUUCAGUAUAUUAUUUUGAAUGUUUAUUAUUGAAAAGCGAAAAGUAUUUUAACUUCUUAUAAAAAUGUAAACUUAACAAACUAAUACAUGCAUUUUGUCACACACGUAAGUCUUUGAAAUAAAUUAUUUAAACUGGGUGUCCUAAAUUUGAAAUAUCUGGUAUAUGCACAGUUUAAAAAAAAGAUUUACAUUCCAUUAAGUUUUCCACGAACCAGUUCACUUAUACUACUGUUGCCUUUAUUUAGGAUAAGCAAAUGAAUACAUUAUAAAUGGAAAAAACCGGCUGGUUUAUAAUUCGAUUUAAUGUUAUGAAGACAUGUGAAAUAAAAAUUGUGCAUUU